This is a long non-coding RNA of Macrobrachium nipponense, 649 nucleotides long. RefSeq lists it as uncharacterized. Lineage: Eukaryota; Metazoa; Arthropoda; Malacostraca; Decapoda; Palaemonidae. The record is from RefSeq and is a predicted model, not a curated record. The transcript is spliced from 4 exons.
UGAGGCCAGGCUGGUCCUCGUUUUGUUUAAAUGUAUCGCGUAUCGGAGAGAAUUUGACAUUUCGAAUUUUGCUGCUGACAUGGCCGCCAUCAUGAUUUUUCUCGCCGCUUCUGUCUUCAGUCUGGCUUGCUUUGCCGAAGGAUGCGUCUUCCCAUUCGACAGGAUCGGCACCCAGUUGAUCCUUUGGUGGAAGGACAUAGGUAUGCCUUGAAUCUCUACUGUACUUUGGCCUCCAGCAACGGAUCGCUCGUCAAGAUUCCCGACGCGGACCAACACCAGGCCAUCGUCAGCUACAUCAGGGAACAGGGUCUGGACCACGCCAACUACUGGAUAGGCGCCAAUGACGAUGAUUCCGAAGGCCAAUGGAAGUGAAGCGAUGGAACGGACGUUCCCUUGAGCACCACCUUUUGGCGGUACGGCUGCGACGCCGACCGCAGCAGGAGGCCCCGGGUCGACCCCGGCAGGAACUGCGCCAUUUUGGACUGCCUUAGUUUCGAGACCGGAAAGUUCUGUCCGAUCUGCGAGAUGGUUUGAUGGCAGUGCGAGUGUGAAAUAAAGUAUAAAAAUAACAAGGACUCUAGGGAGAAUGCAUGGGACUAAAAUAAAACAAAAAAAGAUGAGGUAUGAAAUAAAAGAUUAUACAUAUCUU